GCCUACGGGUGGCAGCAGUGGGGAAUAUUGGACAAUGGGGGGAACCCUGAUCCAGCCAUGCCGCGUGUGUGAAGAAGGCCCUCGGGUUGUAAAGCACUUUCAGUGAGGAAGAACGCCUGGUGGUUAAUACCCAUCAGGAAAGACAUCACUCACAGAAGAAGCACCGGCUAACUCCGUGCCAGCAGCCGCGGUAAUACGGAGGGUGCGAGCGUUAAUCGGAAUUACUGGGCGUAAAGCGCGCGUAGGUGGCUUGAUAAGCCGGUUGUGAAAGCCCCGGGCUCAACCUGGGAACGGCAUCCGGAACUGUCAAGCUAGAGUGCAGGAGAGGAAGGUAGAAUUCCCGGUGUAGCGGUGAAAUGCGUAGAGAUCGGGAGGAAUACCAGUGGCGAAGGCGGCCUUCUGGACUGACACUGACACUGAGGUGCGAAAGCGUGGGUAGCAAACAGGAUUAGAUACCCUGGUAGUC
This 466-nucleotide ribosomal RNA is filed under the name Vreelandella stevensii. RNAcentral's name for it is "partial 16S ribosomal RNA". It matches the Rfam family "Bacterial small subunit ribosomal RNA", at positions 337 to 795 of the family's 1533-position model. The record is from RNAcentral. Lineage: Bacteria; Pseudomonadati; Pseudomonadota; Gammaproteobacteria; Oceanospirillales; Halomonadaceae.